CUUAUCAAAAAUAUCAUCUUAACCUUUUCUCCACCAUAUAUACACAAGUUCUUAAGUUCUAGAGGAGUUGCAGAAGCGGAUUGAAGGGUUAGUCGGUACUACUUGAUUGCAGAGAAGAAAGGGACUAGUGUUGAGUUUAUUGACAAAGGAAGUAAAGACAUGGACAAGGAUACAAAGAAAACAGAACCCUGCUUUGCAGAGGAAAUUGUCUAUAACAUUGGAAGCCUCUACAAUGGGAAAUUCUUACUUUUCAGAGGAAUACAUUGGAUUACUUUGUUGUUGAUGUGAUUAAAUGCGAGAUAAAGCUGGCGCCUAUUGACAUCAGGAUGUAUUCAGCUUGGGAUGCUCACUCCAUUAACAUGUCUCUGUGUUUGUUUUUGUGAUUUUGAUGAUCAGAUAUUCAGAGAGAAAUGUUGAGCAUUGAGUGGCUCUUUGUUGUAGUGAGAAACAUCUUUGAGAAUCAAUAAUAAAUGACUCAAUAUAUUUAAAAUGGUCACCA
Molecule: long non-coding RNA, 499 nt
Organism: Macadamia integrifolia
Lineage: Eukaryota; Viridiplantae; Streptophyta; Magnoliopsida; Proteales; Proteaceae
Exons: 2
Source: RefSeq, a predicted model, not a curated record